This 1513-nucleotide ribosomal RNA is filed under the name Treponema ruminis. RNAcentral's name for it is "Treponema sp. Ru1 Bacterial large subunit ribosomal RNA". It matches the Rfam family "Bacterial large subunit ribosomal RNA", at positions 1 to 1524 of the family's 2925-position model. Lineage: Bacteria; Pseudomonadati; Spirochaetota; Spirochaetia; Treponematales; Treponemataceae. The record is from Rfam by way of RNAcentral.
GGCCAGGCAAACAUAGGUCCAUGGCGGAUGCCUGUGGAGCUGUCAGGCGAUGAAGGACGCGACAAGCUGCGAGAAGCCCCGGGGAGGUGCACAUGACCAUUGAUCCGGGGAUGUCCGAAUGGGGUAACCCGCGGGGAGCGAUUCCCGCACCGCGGACGCUGAAUAAAAUAGGCGUGCGGAGCCACACUGGGUGAAGUGAACCAUCUAAGUAACCCGGGAAGAGAAAUCAACAGAGAUUCCGUAAGUAGCGGCGAGCGAAAGCGGAGGAGCCCAAACCGCCUCGAGCGGGGUUGUAGGACUGCGACAUGAAGGAGCCAAGGCUAGCGGAAGGGCAUGGGAAGGCCCGCCACAGAGCGUGAGAGCCGCGUACGCGAAAGCCGAAGCCAUCUAGCAGUAUCCUGAGUAGGGCGGGGCACGAGGAACCCUGUCCGAAUCCGGGUCGACCACGAUCCAAGGCUGAAUACUGAACAGCUACCGAUAGCGAACGAGUACCGUGAGGGAAAGGUGAAAAGAACCCCGGCGAGGGGAGUGAAAUAGAACCUGAAACCAUGGACCGGCAAGAUGUCACGGCCCGAGAGGGUGGUGGCGUGCCUUUUGUAGAAUGAGCCUGCGAGUCAUGUUAUGCGGCGAGGUUAAGGGACAGGAGUUCCGGAGCCGCAGCGAAAGCGAGUCUGAACAGGGCGGAUAUGAGUUGCAUGACAUGGACCCGAAGCCAAGGUGAUCUAUCCACGGGCAGGCUGAAGCAGGGGUAAGACCUUGUGGAGGGCCGAACAGUAAUCUGUUAAAAAAGGUAGUGAUGACCCGUGGAUCGGAGCGAAAGACUAAACAAACCUGGAGAUAGCUGGCUCUCCCCGAAAUGCCUUUAGGGACAGCCUCAGGGAAAGCUUGCGGAGGUAGAGCACUGGAUGGAUGCGGGGGAGUCAAAUCCUACCAAAUCCAAUCAAACUCCGAAUGCCGCAAGCCAGCCCCUGGGAGUGAGACUGCGUGCGACAAGGUUCGUAGUCAAGAGGGAAACAGCCCGGACCGCCGGUUAAGGUCCCGAAACCAUGCUGAGUGUGAAAUGAGGUGCGGAUGCACAGACAGCCAGGAGGUUGGCUCAGAAGCAGCCAUUCCUUAAAAGAGUGCGUAACAGCUCACUGGUCGAGCAUCCGCGCGCAGACAAUGUAGCGGGGCUAAGCAUGGUACCGAAACCGCGGAUUCACGGAUUAGUCCGUGACUGGUAGGGGAGCAUUCCGCAGGCCGGAGAAGGGAUACCCGCGAGGGGUCCUGGAGGAAGCGGAAGAGAGAAUGCAGGCAUAAGUAACGAAAAGACGGGUGGGAUCCCCGUCCGCCGAAAACCUAAGGUUUCCCGCGUAAAGGCAAUCUGCGCGGGGUAAGUCGGCCCCUAAGGCGAGGCGGAAACGCGUAGUCGAUGGGAAAUCGGUAAAGAGUCCGAUACUUCAUAAGUUUCUACGGAAUGACGCAUGAGGUGAAAUCCGGCCGGGCGACGGUAGUCCCGGUCCAAGCGGCAAUC